RNAcentral lists this transfer RNA (102 nucleotides) under Thermoleophilia bacterium. RNAcentral's name for it is "tRNA-Met". Lineage: Bacteria; Bacillati; Actinomycetota; Thermoleophilia. The record is from RNAcentral.
CGCGAAUCGUCGGGCUGCAAGUCAUUUACUGGAGUCGAGUUAUGCGAAUUGCCCUGCGGAAUCAUAAUCCGCGUGUCGGGGGUUCGAGUCCCUCCUCCGCUA